GAUGAACGCUGGCGGCGUGCCUAAUACAUGCAAGUAGAACGCUGAAGGAGGAGCUUGCUCUUCUGGAUGAGUUGCGAACGGGUGAGUAACGCGUAGGUAACCUGCCUGGUAGCGGGGGAUAACUAUUGGAAACGAUAGCUAAUACCGCAUGACAACAGUUAUUGCAUGAUAACUGUUUAAAAGGGGCAACUGCUCCACUACCAGAUGGACCUGCGUUGUAUUAGCUAGUUGGUGAGGUAACGGCUCACCAAGGCGACGAUACAUAGCCGACCUGAGAGGGUGAUCGGCCACACUGGGACUGAGACACGGCCCAGACUCCUACGGGAGGCAGCAGUAGGGAAUCUUCGGCAAUAGACGGAAGUCUGUCCGAGCAACGCCGCGUGAGUGAAGAAGGUUUUCGGAUCGUAAAGCUCUGUUGUAAGAGAAGAACGAGUGUGAGAGUGGAAAGUUCACACUGUGACGGUAUCUUACCAGAAAGGGACGGCUAACUACGUG
Molecule: ribosomal RNA, 495 nt
Filed under: uncultured bacterium
Lineage: Bacteria
Description: partial 16S ribosomal RNA
Rfam family: Bacterial small subunit ribosomal RNA
Source: RNAcentral